UGGACUCCUGCUCUACAUCAGAGCACAAGCUGGGCAAAGACUCGCCCUCCAACAAGUUGCUCUAUGCCAAGGACAUACCCAACUACAAGAGCUGGGUUGAGAGGUACUAUGCUGACAUUGCCAAGAUGCCCGCCAUCAGUGUCCAAGACAUGAGCGCCUACCUGGCAGAGCAGUCCCGGCUGCAUCUCAGCCAGUUCAACAGCAUGAGUGCCCUGCACGAGAUCUACUCCUACAUCGCCAAGUACAAGGAUGAGAUUCUGGUGGCUCUGGAAAAAGAUGAGCAGGCACGAAGGC
This is a long non-coding RNA of Grammomys surdaster, 294 nucleotides long. RefSeq lists it as uncharacterized. Lineage: Eukaryota; Metazoa; Chordata; Mammalia; Rodentia; Muridae. The record is from RefSeq and is a predicted model, not a curated record. The transcript is spliced from 3 exons.